RNAcentral lists this ribosomal RNA (420 nucleotides) under uncultured bacterium. RNAcentral's name for it is "bacterial SSU rRNA". It matches the Rfam family "Bacterial small subunit ribosomal RNA", at positions 956 to 1375 of the family's 1533-position model. The record is from RNAcentral.
AGCACGCGAAGAACUUACCAGGUCUUGACAUUGAUGGACAGAACUAGAGAUAGUUCCUCUUCUUCGGAAGCCAGAAAACAGGUGGUGCACGGUUGUCGUCAGCUCGUGUCGUGAGAUGUUGGGUUAAGUCCCGCAACGAGCGCAACCCCUAUCUUAUGUUGCCAGCACGUAAUGGUGGGAACUCAUGAGAGACUGCCGCAGACAAUGCGGAGGAAGGCGGGGAUGACGUCAAAUCAUCAUGCCCCUUAUGACCUGGGCUACACACGUACUACAAUGGGCUUUAAUAAAGGGAAGCGAAGUCGCGAGGCGGAGCAAACCCCAGAAACAAGCUCUCAGUUCGGAUCGUAGGCUGCAACUCGCCUACGUGAAGUCGGAAUCGCUAGUAAUCGCAGGUCAGCAUACUGCGGUGAAUACGUUCCC